AGGUGGUUUGUUAAGUCAGAUGUGAAAGCCCGGGGCUCAACCUCGGAAUUGCAUUUGAAACUGGCAAACUAGAGUACUGUAGAGGGGGUAGAAUUUCAGGUGUAGCGGUGAAAUGCGUAGAGAUCUGAAGGAAUACCGGUGGCGAAGGCGGCCCCCUGGACAGAUACUGACACUCAGAUGCGAAAGCGUGGGGAGCAAACAGGAUUAGAUACCCUGGUAG
Molecule: ribosomal RNA, 220 nt
Filed under: uncultured bacterium
Lineage: Bacteria
Description: partial 16S ribosomal RNA
Rfam family: Bacterial small subunit ribosomal RNA
Source: RNAcentral